GGGACCCGCACAAGCGGUGGAUGAUGUGGAUUAAUUCGAUGCAACGCGAAAAACCUUACCUACCCUUGACAUGUCCGGAAUCCCGAAGAGAUUUGGGAGUGCUCGCAAGAGAACCGGAACACAGGUGCUGCAUGGCUGUCGUCAGCUCGUGUCGUGAGAUGUUGGGUUAAGUCCCGCAACGAGCGCAACCCUUGUCAUUAGUUGCCAUCAUUUGGUUUGGGCACUCUAAUGAGACUGCCGGUGACAACCGGAGGAAGGUGGGGAUGACGUCAAGUCCUCAUGGCCCUUAUGGGUAGGGCUUCACACGUCAUACAAUGGUCGGUACAGAGGGUUGCCAAGCCGCGAGGCGGAGCCAAUCCCACAAAGCCGAUCGUAGUCCGGAUUGUUCUCUGCAACUCGAGAGCAUGAAGUCGGAAUCGCUAGUAAUCGCAGGUCAGCAUACUGCGGUGAAUACGUUCCCGGGUCUU
RNAcentral lists this ribosomal RNA (467 nucleotides) under uncultured Thiobacillus sp. Its description in RNAcentral is "bacterial SSU rRNA". It matches the Rfam family "Bacterial small subunit ribosomal RNA", at positions 916 to 1382 of the family's 1533-position model. The record is from RNAcentral. Lineage: Bacteria; Pseudomonadati; Pseudomonadota; Betaproteobacteria; Nitrosomonadales; Thiobacillaceae.